RNAcentral lists this unclassified non-coding RNA (1412 nucleotides) under uncultured Neocallimastigales. Its description in RNAcentral is "partial contains small subunit ribosomal RNA, internal transcribed spacer 1, 5.8S ribosomal RNA, internal transcribed spacer 2, and large subunit ribosomal RNA". The stretch from base 630 to 1412 matches the Rfam family "Eukaryotic large subunit ribosomal RNA", at positions 1 to 631 of the family's 3401-position model. The record is from RNAcentral. Lineage: Eukaryota; Fungi; Neocallimastigomycota; Neocallimastigomycetes; Neocallimastigales.
UUUCCGUAGGUGAACCUGCGGAAGGAUCAUUAAAAAAUAAGGCCUUUUUGAAAGGGUCUAUUAAUAAUCUACCCUUGUGAAUUUGUUUGUUUGAAAUAAUUUUUUAAAAAAUUAUUGAAUGUCUUUCCCUGGUUGUUUGCUUUUGAAAGUGAACUCCAGGGGAAUGGCAAACAUAAUAUUUAAAGACUUUUUUUUAAAUUAAACUUUUUGUAUUCAUUUGUCUAAAAUUAUUUUAUAAUAUAAAAACAACUUUUGACAAUGGAUCUCUUGGUUCUCGCAACGAUGAAGAACGCAGCAAAAUGCGAUAAGUAGUGUGAAUUGCAGAAUACGUGAAUCAUCGAAUCUUCGAACGCAUAUUGCACUUUUUUAGUUUACUAAAAAAGUAUGUCUGUUUGAGUAUCAGUAAAAUAUUCUCAUAAAAACUUUUUGUUUUUAUGGUUAUGAGUGUUUUACAACGAUACAAGUUGUUUCACUUUAAAUUCUUUGUUAUUAAAAAAAUCAUUAAAACUAUUUUAAAAUUUUUUUAAAAUUGGAUAAAAUUUUCCCGUAAAAAGGAAUAACCUAAACAAUUUUAAAAAAUUAAAAUUGGUUGAUUUCUUUUAAGAAAAAAAGGAAAAGUCAAAUUAACUUGAUCUCAAAUCAGAUAAGAGUACCCGCUGAACUUAAGCAUAUCAAUAAGCGGAGGAAAAGAAACUAACAAGGAUUCCCUUAGUAACGGCGAGUGAAGCGGGAAGAGCUCAAAUUUGAAAUCUUCAAGGUUUUACCUUGACGAAUUGUAGUUUAAAGAAGUGUUUUCUGUUGGAGUUUUGGUAAAAAGUUCUUUGGAAUAGGACAUCAUAGAGGGUGAGAAUCCCGUAUUUGACCAUUACUUUCCAGCUGUGUGAUACACUUUCAAAGAGGUCGGAUUGUUUGGGAAUGCAGUCCAAAAUGGGUGGUAAAUUUCAUCUAAAGCUAAAUAUUGGCGAGAGACCGAUAGCGAACAAGUACCGUGAGGGAAAGAUGAAAAGAACUUUGAAAAGAGAGUUAAACAGUACGUGAAAUUGUCAAAAGGGAAGCGUUUGACACCAGUGUUGUUUUCUCGAAAAUCAAUUAAAAAUGCUGAUUUUGUGUUGUAUUGACUUUAUCAGCUUUCUGCACUUUUUUCUUAUCUUUUUUAAUGCACUUUUCGUUUAACAAGUCAACAUCAAUUUUCUUUUGUUGUAAAAGAGUCAUUGGAAGGUGGCUUUUUCUUCGGAGAAAGUGUUUAUAGCCUUUACCUUCUGCAAUCGGAGAGAUUGAGGUCUGCAGCGUAGAUCCUUCGGGGUUAGAUACAUUUGUGCUAAGCUAUAGUUCUUUAUAGACAACUUGUUGACUAUAAUCAAUCCUGUAACUUACUCGCUUAUGCUAUUUUACCUACGCUUAGGAUGUUUGAG